ACGAACGCUGGCGGCGUGCUUAACACAUGCAAGUCGAGCGGUAAGGCCCUUCGGGGUACACGAGCGGCGAACGGGUGAGUAACACGUGGGUGAUCUGCCCUGCACUUCGGGAUAAGCCUGGGAAACUGGGUCUAAUACCGGAUAUGAGCCUCCACUGCAUGGUGGGGGUUGGAAAGGUUUACUGGUGCAGGAUGGGCCCGCGGCCUAUCAGCUUGUUGGUGGGGUAAUGGCCUACCAAGGCGACGACGGGUAGCCGGCCUGAGAGGGCGACCGGCCACACUGGGACUGAGACACGGCCCAGACUCCUACGGGAGGCAGCAGUGGGGAAUAUUGCACAAUGGGCGAAAGCCUGAUGCAGCGACGCCGCGUGAGGGAUGACGGCCUUCGGGUUGUAAACCUCUUUCAGCAGGGACGAAGCGAGAGUGAC
RNAcentral lists this ribosomal RNA (427 nucleotides) under bacterium Ellin5055. RNAcentral's name for it is "bacterial SSU rRNA". It matches the Rfam family "Bacterial small subunit ribosomal RNA", at positions 29 to 460 of the family's 1533-position model. The record is from RNAcentral. Lineage: Bacteria; Bacillati; Actinomycetota; Actinomycetes; Mycobacteriales; Nocardiaceae.